This 241-nucleotide unclassified non-coding RNA is filed under the name plant metagenome. RNAcentral describes it as "partial contains small subunit ribosomal RNA, internal transcribed spacer 1, and 5.8S ribosomal RNA". The record is from RNAcentral.
UUUCCGUAGGUGAACCUGCGGAAGGAUCAUUAAAGAGUAAGGGUCUUCGGGCCCGAUCUCCAACCCUUCGUUUAACUACCAUGUUGCUUUGGCGGGCCCGUCUCACGACCGCCGGAAGUUUGGCUUCGACCAAACUUCCGGCCCGUGCCCGUCAGUGGCCCCUUCAAAUUCUUGAUCAAGUAUGAUGUCUUAGUUAAAAACUUAAUAGUUAAAACUUUCAACAACGGAUCUCUUGGUUCUG